This 67-nucleotide transfer RNA is filed under the name Marmota monax (woodchuck). RNAcentral describes it as "tRNA.Ala". Lineage: Eukaryota; Metazoa; Chordata; Mammalia; Rodentia; Sciuridae. The record is from RNAcentral.
GGUUGUGGCUCAGUGGUAGAGUACUUGUCUCGCACAUGUGAAGCACUGGGUUCAAUCCUCAGAACCA